RNAcentral lists this ribosomal RNA (571 nucleotides) under uncultured Actinomyces sp. RNAcentral describes it as "bacterial SSU rRNA". It matches the Rfam family "Bacterial small subunit ribosomal RNA", at positions 480 to 1044 of the family's 1533-position model. The record is from RNAcentral. Lineage: Bacteria; Bacillati; Actinomycetota; Actinomycetes; Actinomycetales; Actinomycetaceae.
GGGAUAAGAAGCGCCGGCUAACUACGUGCCAGCAGCCGCGGUAAUACGUAGGGCGCGAGCGUUGUCCGGAAUUAUUGGGCGUAAAGAGCUCGUAGGCGGCUGGUCGCGUCUGUCGUGAAAUCCUCUGGCUUAACUGGGGGCUUGCGGUGGGUACGGGCCGGCUUGAGUGCGGUAGGGGAGACUGGAACUCCUGGUGUAGCGGUGGAAUGCGCAGAUAUCAGGAAGAACACCGGUGGCGAAGGCGGGUCUCUGGGCCGUUACUGACGCUGAGGAGCGAAAGCGUGGGGAGCGAACAGGAUUAGAUACCCUGGUAGUCCACGCCGUAAACGUUGGGCACUAGGUGUGGGAGGCCUUUUCCGGGUCUUCCGCGCCGUAGCUAACGCAUUAAGUGCCCCGCCUGGGGAGUACGGCCGCAAGGCUAAAACUCAAAGGAAUUGACGGGGGCCCGCACAAGCGGCGGAGCAUGCGGAUUAAUUCGAUGCAACGCGAAGAACCUUACCAAGGCUUGACAUGUGCCGGUCGGCUCCGGAGACGGGGUUUCCUCCUUGUGGGGCCGGUUCACAGGUGGUGC